Non-coding RNA from Microcebus murinus (gray mouse lemur), 446 nucleotides. Lineage: Eukaryota; Metazoa; Chordata; Mammalia; Primates; Cheirogaleidae. The record is from RefSeq and is a predicted model, not a curated record.
UCUUUCUGGGUAAUAAGAGCUAUUCAACUCAAUAUGAUUGUGCUUUGGACUAAAAGGACUAACUAAAAGUUUUGGACUAAUUAAAAGUUGCAUUAUUUAUUAAAUGCAACUGCUUCAAUUACAGGUUUAUUAAGGUUUCAGGGAGAAUUUUGAGAAAGAACUUUGAGAAAGAAAAGAAGAAAGAGUCAUCAGAAUGUCAAAUUUCUUCACUUUACAAUAUUAUACAUCUCUCUAACAAGAUGGACAGAUUCAUCACAUGGGGCUAGUAGCAGAGGCUUUCAAACAAAGAAAGCCACAGAGCAGAGUUCUUAUGAUCAUAUGAAGAUUAUGUUGAAGUAUCCUGCAUCAGGAGCAUGGAUCAGCAGAUUCUCAUCAUCACCGACCUCUUCUUGCUGCUCCUCUAGUGCAGCUCCCUCCAUGCCUCUGACACCAGCCUAACAGUGGGC